RNAcentral lists this unclassified non-coding RNA (277 nucleotides) under sea anemone metagenome. RNAcentral's name for it is "partial contains small subunit ribosomal RNA and internal transcribed spacer 1". The stretch from base 1 to 153 matches the Rfam family "Eukaryotic small subunit ribosomal RNA", at positions 1678 to 1831 of the family's 1831-position model. The record is from RNAcentral.
GCUCCUACCGAUUGAGUGAUCCGGUGAAUUAUUCGGACUGACGCAGUGCUCAGCUUCUGGACGUUGCGUUGGAAAGUUUCAUGAACCUUAUCACUUAGAGGAAGUAAAAGUCGUAACAAGGUUUCUGUAGGUGAACCUGCAGAAGGAUCAAGAACGGAAGAGCACACGUCUGAACCCCAGGUACGUGGCCUUAACUCGUACGCCGGCUUCCGGCUGAAAAAAAAAAAACAAACCUACCGCAAUCAGUGUUCCUGCCACUUGACGAUAGUAAUCUGAC